CACGUAGUUAGCCGGAGCUUAUAAAUGGUACCGUCAUUAAUUCUUCCCAUUCUUUCGAAGUUUACAUACCGAAAUACUUCAUCCUUCACGCGGCGUUGCUGGGUCAGGCUUUCGCCCAUUGCCCAAAAUUCCCGACUGCUGCCUCCCGUAGGAGUCUGACCCGUUAUUCAGUGUCAGUGUGUCCGACCGUCCUCUUAGACCGGAUACAGAUCGUAGCCUUGGUAAGCCAUUACCUUACCAACUAGCUAAUCUGCCGCAAGCUCCUCUUCAAGCGAAUUGCUCCUUUAACAACUGUCAUCUUGUGAUGCCGCUGCAUUAUGCGGUAUUAGCGUCCGUUUCCGAACGUUAUUCCCCACUCGAAGGUAGAUUACUUACGUGUUACUCACCCGUGCGCCACUUUAUACACUCCCCGAAGGGAGCUUUAAUCGUUCGACUUGCAUGUCUGAGGCACGCCGCCAGCGUUGAUUCUGAGCCAGGAUCAAACUCU
RNAcentral lists this ribosomal RNA (487 nucleotides) under uncultured bacterium. Its description in RNAcentral is "partial 16S ribosomal RNA". The record is from RNAcentral.